AGAGUGAACGCUGGCGGUAGGCCUAACACAUGCAAGUCGAACGGCAGCACAGUGGUAGCAAUACCGUGGGUGGCGAGUGGCGGACGGGUGAGGAAUACAUCGGAACCUACCUUUUCGUGGGGGAUAACGUAGGGAAACUUACGCUAAUACCGCAUACGCCCUUUGGGGGAAAGCCGGGGAUCGCAAGACCUGGCGCGGAUAGAUGAGCCGAUGUCGGAUUAGCUAGUUGGUGAGGUAAUGGCUCACCAAGGCGACGAUCCGUAGCUGGUCUGAGAGGAUGAUCAGCCACACUGGAACUGAGACACGGUCCAGACUCCUACGGGAGGCAGCAGUGGGGAAUAUUGGACAAUGGGCGCAAGCCUGAUCCAGCCAUACCGCGUGGGUGAAGAAGGCCUUCGGUUGUAAAGUCCCUUUUGGUUGGAAAGAAAAGCAAUCGGUUAAUACCCGGUUGUUCUGACGUACCAAAGAAUAAGCACGGCUAACUCGUAGCAGCAGCCGC
This 499-nucleotide ribosomal RNA is filed under the name uncultured soil bacterium. RNAcentral describes it as "bacterial SSU rRNA". It matches the Rfam family "Bacterial small subunit ribosomal RNA", at positions 26 to 518 of the family's 1533-position model. The record is from RNAcentral.